This is a non-coding RNA of Microcebus murinus (gray mouse lemur), 428 nucleotides long. The record is from RefSeq and is a predicted model, not a curated record. NCBI's taxonomy places the organism in Eukaryota, Metazoa, Chordata, Mammalia, Primates, Cheirogaleidae.
GUAGGUAGAGAAUUCUAAGCAGAGGGGGCUGUCAUGCAAAGGCCAUGAGGUGCAAAUGUGCCACUGUUUUGAGCAGAAGAGUGACAGGGGGUCUGAUUUAGGAUUUAACAGCAUCCCUUUGGCUGCUAGAUGGAGAAUGAAGUGGAUGGGGAGGAACGAGAUGACACAGAAUGAUCAACGAGGAGGCUGUUGCCACAUCCCAGCUCCCUGGCCUGGGGCCAUGCACUUAACCUCCCUGAACUUGUUUGGUCAUCUGUGUAAUGGAGCAGCUAACACUCACCUCACAGGACCACCCACAGGGUUAGAGAAAAUGCAUGGAAAUCCAUCUGCACAGGACCUGACGCAUGCCCAGAGCUUGCCUGCAAACACCACCAGGGAGCCAGAGAUGAAGGGUAGGCAGUGAUUCAUCUCCCUUUGCCAUGACGUGC